CUUGCAGAUGACGGAUAUAAGAUUCAGGACGUUCUCCUGGAAUUGGUUGGGCGACGAACUGUCCCACAAGUGUUUGUAAAUGGGAAGCAUAUUGGCGGUUCUGAUGAUCUGCAAGCUGCUGUUAAAAGUGGUAAACUGCAGAGCCUUCUCAGUAAAGCUUGAUGCAAUUCGUGUAGUAAGAGACGUCUACAGCUACUGUUGACAUGGUCCGCAGCCAUUCAGGUCAAUUUGGCCAUCAUCAUCAUCUCUAUCAUCACAUUCAUGACUCUAUUAUAAGGAUUUAUUUGUGUUUUUGUCAAAGCUUUCACCGCAUCUUUAGCUGACUUGUUGGUAUCGGCGUCUUAAUUCCUUCUCUGUUUAGUAACCGUGGAUUCGUGUUGAAAACAAAACCGGAUUUUCUCC
Salvia hispanica is the source of this 402-nucleotide non-coding RNA. Lineage: Eukaryota; Viridiplantae; Streptophyta; Magnoliopsida; Lamiales; Lamiaceae. The record is from RefSeq and is a predicted model, not a curated record.